AACCUGGUUCUGUCUGAUCCAUUGCCUGUAUCUAAGUAGCUGCAAAGUCAUGUCAUGGCAUUUGAUGAGUCUGACUUCUCCAACUAGUGAUAUGGGCUCAAAUUCCCCUCUGUUGUCUCAUUUCAUCAGAACUUCCCCUGUGGUUUUGACGCAAGACAUCCCCCGUUCAUCGGAGUGAGCUGGCUCAGUCUCCACCCAGCACGUCUAUUCCUGUGUGUGGACUAGAGUUCUCUCUGUGAAGGAGCAGCCCAGCCAGGAAUCACACUUUUCCCUUGCUGUUUUGCAUCAGAGAGGGACCAACCGACUCAUUCUCCGAGGGGAACAGGAAUUUGUCCCCAGCUCAUCUGGGCCCAACUCAUCUGUCAUCCUGGCUUCAUGUAUUCCUGUUCUGCAUCCAACUUGGUGGCUGCAGCUGAUUACCUGAAGGACCCAGGAACCCAGGGUGAGUUUGCUGAGGGCAUCUGCCUAGCUGGGGCCCAACCCUCCGGACUGUGGGGCUGAGAACCAUAAAGUGAUAAUCACACGGCAGGGCAACAGCAGAGAGGAGCAGGGCCUUAAUAACAUGAUGUGAUGUGAGUGUGGGGUGGGGCUGUGGAGCUGCCCCACCCACACACGCCUUGCCAACCCUGCAUCAUUCUAGCAGGGCUGCAUUCCUGGCCUCGAAUGUAAUGCUCGUUAGAUUGCUUUCAAAUUUGGCUGGAUGCAAUAAUUGCACUCUUCUUUCUAACCACCUCAGUAUCUGCGAAGUGGGAGGAUGUCUGCCCUCUCUGCACCACGCAGGUUUCCAGGUGGGCAGUGCUUCUGUCUGACUUGUACAGUUGGUCUGAGGCCAUUGUCUCCAAACUAUGAUCUGAAGUUUGCUUGAAUCAGAAUCUGGUAGCAUGAUGGUCAAAAUGACAAUGACUGGGCUUCUCACGGACCUACUGAACCACAUUGUCUGCAUUACCCAUAGUAAUAGGUUUUUAUUUAUUUAUUUAUUUACUUGAAAGUCAGAGUUACAUAGAGAAAGAGAGGAGAGGCAGAGAGAAAGAGAGAUCCUCCAUCUGAUGGUUCGCUCCCCAACUGGCCGCAAUGGCCAGAGCUGUACCCAUCUGAAGCCAGGAGCCAGGAGCUUCUUCCGGGUCUCCCACGUGGGUGCAGGGGCCCAAGGGCUUGGACCAUCCUGUACUGCCUUCCCAGGCCAUAGCAGAGAGCUGGAUCAGAAGCGGAGCAGCCGGGACUAGAACUGGAGCCCACAUGGGAUGCUGGUGCUUCAGGCCAGGGCAUUAACCCACUGCGCCAUGGCGCCAGCCCCAACACAGUAAUAGGUUUUACAGAUAAUAAGGAUUGCUGGUGUGAAGGGUUCGCUGGGAUUGGAGGAAACUAUGGGUGUGGGCUGGGGAUGUGGUGGUUUCCGGUCCCUGCUGCAGUGCUUCCUGGCUGGCUGACUUGGUGUGUCACUCACUCUGUCCGGGCAUCCUGGGCAGGGAAGGGUUGUAUCUAUGUGUAUCUCUUUCAGUGGCCUAGAAGACAGGUUCAUUAAAUUUGAAUGAAUGAAUGCCUGCAGGAGUGAAGAUCGUAACCCAUGCUAUGCUGUCUUGACCGCAAUAACACAGGGAAAGGUCCCUGUGCAGUGUCCUGCACGUAGUAGGUGCUCACCUAGUGCGGUGCUUUCCCAUUCCCCUCGACAAUGACUUGUCUGUGGGUAACUCAUUCAGGUACACAGUGCACAUGUGGAGGAGAUGACAGGCGCUCAGAGACCUGGCUGAGACCCAGGGCUGAUAAGCCCUUCCAGAGGGGGCCGACAUGGGUUUGGGAGGCCACCAGUGGAUGUCAGAUGUGUGUCCAGAGGGUUGCAGCUGUGAUCAGCAGCCAAAGACUGGGGCAACUCAGAGUAUGAGGUCUUGAGUAUAAAUGAGGGAAUUCAUGACCUAUCCCUUGCAAUGCCACUAGGAAAAUAGCGGAUUUCCCCUGGACCCAUGUUUUUAUAUGUGAGAAUCAAAUGAGGUAAUGAGGAGGUAACCGUUGUCUACUCUAUUGUGUUGUGAUGAUUUCUUCUCCAAGUGAGGCCUGCAGACCAGCGGUGUUAUUGUCACCUGGGAGCCCAUCAGAUAGGCCGACUCUCAGGCCAUGCCCUAGACUUAUUAAGUGGGAGCCUUAUUUUAAGGUGAUUCCCUGGCAAUUUACAAUACACACUAAAGUUGGAGAAGUAGAAGCGAAACAAUUAUAAGGGAUUUUUUGUUCUCUAAGUACAGCUGUUUCCUAGAGAGUUUGGAGGAAGGGCAGGCAAGGGGGAAGAACUGUGUCUUAUUUCUCUCUUUUCAGUACCUAAAAUACAACUGGCCUUUAACUAAUGUUGCAUGAGUCAAUGAAUAAAUGAAGAUCUUCACCGGUGUUGUCCUCCACUGCUUGGAGUUCUCUGCCGUGGCUCCUGCUGUACUAGCAGGAGGUUUCGUGGUGGGUGCAGCUGCCUUGCAGUCAGUGGAUGCCAGCUACAGACGCAGGCAUUUAGCAUGUGAUUAAGGACAGAGUAAUCCACUUAAUGUGGGUUGUGGGAGAUAUUUGGCAAGAACUGAGGUGCAGGGGUUGGAUUUUAGUUUCCAAAGAUAAUGCCUUUCCCAAUUAUUUAAAGCCCUCGGUAGCUUGGAUCACACCCAGACGGAAAUAAGCCUCCUUAAGACAGAAUUCCGCAAAUAGGACUCUUGCUCAUUUCUGUAGCAGAAUCCUGGCUCUAAUAGUCUAUUCAGGCUUUCAUGUCACAUGACACAGAAGGGUUGUCCAGCCAGAUCUUCAUGGAGCUGAGCCCAACCGAACUUACCACCUAUAAAGGAGAAAUAGUUUCUGCUUACUAGAUUUUGCCACCAGCUAAAUUAAUUACAGAAUUAAUCUAUUCCAUCACUCAACACAUUCUGUAGCGCUCGGCUUGAGGUUACCAUAGUGAGUAGCAAGCAGUCCCUGCUUCUUCCAAGUAAUUGCCAGGUGGCAAGGAUGGAAUAAGAACCAAGCAAUUAUCGUGAGGUUUGAGUAAGUGCAGACCCAGACGGGAGAGCAGAGCAGGCUGACCCAGGCCAGUAAGGGCGGAGGUGAUGGAGGGAGGCACCUCCUGCAGGAAGUGACCUGCAGGCUGAUACUGGACGGGUGAGUGGGAGGUAAACAACUGGGGGAGGAAAUGAAGCAAGGACAAAGAAUAGCCCGGGCCCAGUCCUAGAAAAAAAGACAGUGGUUGGAGGCAAAGGAAGUGAAGCAGUCAUGUUUCUGGUGGCUGCAGUGAUAGGCUGGCUGCCUGUGGGUAUACAGUAGUUUCUCCUCAUCUGUGAUUUCAAUCACCCAGCAACUCUGGGCUGAAAAUAUUUAAUAGAAAAUUCCAAAAACAAUUCACAGGUUUUAAACGUGUGCCAUUUUGCACAGCAAUUUCACAUUUAUUAAAAUAUAUCUUUGGAGCUGGCAUAGUGGCAUAAUGGAUAAAGCCACUGUCUGUGAUGCCAGCAUACCAUAUGGUGAUAUUUCGAGACCCAACUGCUCCACUUCUGAUCCAUCUCCCUGCUAAUGUGCCUGGGAAAGCAGCAGAGGACGGCCCAAGUGCUUGGGCCCCUGCACCCACGUGGGAGACCCGGAAGAAGCUCUGGGGUCCUGGUUCCGGCCUGGCUCAGCCCUGGCCAUUGCAGCCAUUUGGAGAGUGAACCAGCAGAUGGAAGGUCUCUCUCUCUCUGUAUCUCUUCCUUUCUCUCUGUAAUUCUGCCUUUCAAAUAAAUAAAUCGAUAUUUAAAAAUUUUAUCAUUAUUAUAAUUAUUCUAUAUUAUUAUUGUGCAUCUCUUACUAGGCCUAAUUUAUAAAUUAAACUUUACCAAAAGUAUGUAUAUAUGUACAGGAAAAAAAACUUGUGCAUCUAGAUGUGAGUACUAUCUGUGGUUUCAGGUGUCCCCUGGGGAUUUUGGAAUGUAUCCCUCACCAAUAAGGUGGGACUGCCAAAUAUGUGGAGUUUGAAUAUGAUGAGAGGUGAGGCUGAGGGGGAAAGUGAGGGAAAAAUCACAAGAGGUACUUUGAAUCCUCCCAGGAAAUUCACAUUUUAUCCCAAGGCUGGUCGAGGAAAUCUCCAAAAGAUCCGCUGUUAGUGGGGUCGGAUUCCUUUUCCAGUAAUGGACCCUUGGACGUCUUUGUCCAGUUAGCCUCCGUAAUGGACCCUUGGACGUCUUUGUCCAGUUAACCUCCGUAAUGGACCCUUGGACGCCUUUGUCCAGUCAGCCUCCUUGGACACUUGGACCUCUUUGUCCAGUCAGCCUCCUUGGACACUUGGACGUCUUUGUCCAGUUAACCUCUGUAAUGGACCCUUGGACGUCUUUGUCCAGUUAGCCUCCGUAAUGGACCCUUGGACGUCUUUGUCCAGUUAACCUCCGAAAUGGACCCUUGGACGUCUUUGUCCAGUUAGCCUCCGUAAUGGACCCUUGGACGUCUUUGUCCAGUCAGCCUCCUUGGACACUUGGACGUCUUUGUCCAGUUAACCUCCGUAAUGGACCCUUGGAUGUCUUUGUCCAGUUAGCCUCCGUAAUGGACCCUUGGAAGUCUUUGUCCAGUUAGCCUCCAUAAUGGACUCUUGGACGUCUUUGUCCAGUUAGCCUCUGUAAUGGACCCUUGAACGUCUUUGUCCAGUUAGCCUCCUUGGACCCUUGGACGUCUUUGUCCAGUCAGCCUCCUUGGACCCUUGGACGUCUUUGUCCAGUUAGCCUGCGUAAUGGACCCUUGGAUGUCUCUGUCAGUGUGGCAAUAGGACAGGUUUGGGUGCCUCGCACUGCCCUCACGUCACCUGCUUUGAGCUGGGCUCUGCUUCUUGUUUUGCCUCUGUUUACGCUAACCACACACAUGUCCUCAGUGUUAUCUUGUGCUUAUUUCAAGGAGCACAUUUCUCCAUCAAGGCCUCCAGCAGCUGCUCGGCGUCCACUACCAGGGCUUCCUUUCUGGGGCCCCCCUGCCCAGUGGGGCAAGUGAGGUGCUGCCUGCUUACAGCCCCAGCUGCAGUCAGCGGCCCUGCUGGGUCUCACCAGUAGCCUCACCACGGCACUUUCUAGAGACAGUAGGUCAGAUCACUGCUGUGUCAUCAUCUAUACUCUUUAGUGUUCCAGCCACAUGGAGACUGCCUGCACAGCCAGAGCCCCCAUUGUGAGCUGUCACCAGUCAAAGGCUUUUAAGAGGCCAGGGGGUGGUGCGGUGGCCAGACCACAGGCUUGAGGGUCGGAAGUGCUGGCCUGAAUUGUGGCCCCUUCCUGCCCUUGGUGUGUGACCUUGGUGAGUCAUUUGAGUCACAGCUUCAGUUUCCACAGCUGUAAAAUGAGGACAAUGAGCACACCUGCCUUGUCCAUUCUUAGGGUGGGGAUGAGAUCAAACAAGACGGUGCAUGGGAAAGUACUUUGUGAAGUUCCAUAAAAGAGUGGGCUUUCAUUAGCACAGUGGCCACCGCUGGCGCAGCCUCUCAGGGCUGGAGCCCGUUGUACGCUUCUCACCCACACAGCGUAUCAGCACUAUCCUGUCCGAGGCUUUCCGGCUAGGUUUCAUUUUAUCACCACUCCUACACUCAAUCACGCAGCAGACGACUCAGAGAGAGACGAUUUGUCCAAACGUAAACCUGAAGUUCAUCUCUAAUUGUGGGAACCCAAUAAUUUUUGGUGACACAGCUAACUAUGAAAGGGCAUCUGGUGAAUCUAUGGAAGGCAAACACAUCCAGUUCCUUCUCUUACAAGUAAUUUUUCCUCUCGAGCUUCUUGCUGGCAGUUUCUGAAAUGUAAUGGAAAAGUAUUAAAUUUCAGCUCAUUUCAUACUAAAUGUCCUACUAAAAUUUUUUUCCUACUAAAAUUUCCUACAAAAUUUCCUACUAAAAUUUUUUCGUGAACUUUUUUUUAAAAGAUUUAUUUAUUUAUUUGAAAGUCAGAGUUACACAGAGAAGGAGAGGCAGAGAAAGAGAGAGAGAGAGAGAGAGAGAGAGAGAGAGAGAGAGGAGGGAGAGAGAGAGAAUCUUCUAUCUGCUGGUUCACUCCCCAGUUGGCUGCAAGGCUGGAGCUGCGCCAAUCCGAAGCCAGGAGCCAGGAGCUUCUUCUGGGUCUCCCACGUGGGUGCAGGGGCCCAAGGACUUGGGCCAUCUUCUACUGCUUUCCCAGGCCAUAGCAGAGAGCUGGAUCAGAAGUGGAGCAGUCGAGUCUUGAACCAGCCCCCAUAUGGGAUGUGUGCACUGCAGGUCGCGGCUUUACCCGCUACCCCACAGCUCCGGCCCACUUUCUUCGUUUUAUUUUCUGUCUUCCCUCAAUGGACCAAAAUCUCCCUGAGGACAGGAACUGGGUCUCAAUCACCUUGGCCCACUGCUAUUUCUAGAUGCAGUGUGGAGUGAAUCACCAUGCCCGACACGUGCCAGCCCUCACCAGGCUGACAGCAGCUGCCUCCUAGCUCCUUGCUCUGACUUCCCUUGGCCCCAGCUCUAAGGCGAGCUUCCAUAGCAGCCAGGGGGCCUCUGAGACAUGAGCCAGCUCAGUGCUCCUCCUGCUUAGUGCCUUCUGAUGACUGCUGUGGCACAGAGUAGUGAGCCUUGCAUCACCUGGACCAGGCUGAGUUCUAACCUCAUCUUUGUCCAUUUUGUCCUCACAAAAUGCUCCAAGUUCCAGCCACCAGGAAACCACUAUGAUUUCCUGAAUGCAGCCUACCUGCCCACCUGCACAUAGUAACUGAUAUGAUUCAGCAUUUGCCAUGCCAGGUACUUUAGAACUACUCUCUCGCCAUCAUUUAUGAAUCUCACACAACUCCCUAUGUCAUAGUUAUUAUCAUACCCAUUUUAUAGAUGAGAAAACUGAGGCUUGGACAGGAAAGGAUACCUGCUUCAGGCCAGGGAGUAAAAGGCAGUUAAAGGAUUAUAAAUGAUCACAUUACAUUGAAGAAGACAGUAGUUUCUUCACUGAAAGGACUUGGUGGGGAGCAGGCAUUUGGUCUAGUGGUUCAUAUGCCAGUCUAUCAGUCUUUCUCUCUGCCUUUCAAAUAAACAACCAUUUUAAAAGACCUUGGCUCUAGCUGAGCAGACGUGAGUCUUCCAGAAUGAAGACAAACACUGGAGUAUGGUGUAAGAGCCACUAAAUGACUCCUCCAGUGGAAGUUCAAGGGUGCCGUGCAAGCAAGAAUCCCAUCCGGCACUCACAACCACAUCCUACACUGGAUCGCCAGAGCUCGGGUCCUGGCUCCACUCCUCACGCCAACUUCCUCCCAGUGUUUUCCCUGACAGGCAACAGGUGAUGACUGAGAGAGUUGGAUCCCUGCCACCCAUGUGGGAGACUUGGAUUAAGUUCCAGGCUCUUGGAUUUGGCUUGGCCUGGCCCCAGCUGUUGCACGCAUUUGGUGAGUGACCCAGUAGAUAGGAGGUCUCUGUCUAUCUGAGGGAAGGAAAAGCUGUUGUGGCCAGGGGUGCGUCAGCGGAGUAGGCUGGGGAGGGGGCAGUUGUAUCAGCAGGGGGGCCCCGAGCAGGCAUGAUCAUUUUUGUCAAUGCAGAGGCCCCCUGGAAAGGGGGGUUCCACCCACAUGGAGAGGGACAAGAAUGUGGGGGUGAGGCCGGUUCCCAGGGCUCUCCUGGGCCAGGCUGAGGAGCUGGGACUGCUGCUUAGAGAUGGUCUGAGGGAUACUGAUGAACUUCUGGCAGGGAGGUGGUUUGAAUUCAGUAUUGUUUGGGGGAAAAGGAAAAGAAAAUAUAAGCGUGAGUUGAACAGUGGGAGGGAGUGGAUCUGCAGCACCCAGUAGGGAUAGUUUUGUAACAGCCCUGACACAACACCAAAGCAGGGACUAUGCAAUUACAAAGCAUAGGGCUGCUCCCACAGCAUUCAAAGCCACCUUGGUCUAUGAUUUGCUGCUUAAGGACACUGCUAAUCCUACUGUUAUUGAUGCCUGAGGACAUCAGAGCUAUUUUGGGGACAACGCCCUCCCUCCAGGUGGCCAUUGGCCGGUGUGUGGACCUUAAAGGGACCUUGGGUAAGGCCACGAGCCCCAGGUCCCAGGCCUGGCCCUUGACCCCUGGUGAGAUAGCCUUGAGCAACUGGCUGAAGCUGCCAGGGUGAUUGCCACAUGUGUCAUGCCAGGUGAUUGGCUCAUCUUGUCCACUCAAUCAAAUAGGAAAUCUAGCUCAGAAAUACUUGUCCAGGACCUGGGGAGUGCCUGCUACGUGCGAAAUGCUGAGGGCCGCGCUGGGGUCAGAUCUUGUUCAUCGCCACCUGAUGGACAAGACACCCAAGGAGGCUGCCAUUAGUCGCUACUUCUGCCUGUAUUAAACUGUGCGUGUCCGUGUGUUAAAACCUGCGUUUCAAAGCAAGGGGAGAGGAAGGGCUUGCUGGUGAGCAUCCUGUCUGACGUGGAGGUGCGAGAGGUCACACGAAGGCACUGGAAGAGCCCAUCCAGGGCUGACAGCGGCUCCAGUGCCCUUGGGGUCCUGUGCGGCAGGAAAUUCCACCUGCUCCAAACAAGCCAGAGGCCUCCAUAACCCUCAGCCAGGAAGGAACUGAAUUAUAGUCCUCCACAUGAGGAUUUAAUCAGACUGGCCCCUAGAGCACAAAGCAAACACGGAGGAGCACUUACCUCAAUCCAGUCAAACUCAGACUGGUCAAAUUCAUUGUUUUUUUUGUUUGUUUGUUUGAAACAUUCAUUCUUUUAUUCACUUACUCUGCAUUAAAAUUUUCUAAAAUUAUUUUAAUUGUACAUACUUAUGGGGUACAAUGUGAUAAUUUGAUAUAUCACUGUGUGAUGAUGAAAUCAGGUUAGCAUUACUAUUUCCUUAGACAUCUUUAAAAAUUUUUAACACAAUAAUUAUAUAUGUUUAGGGGUACAGGGUGAUAUUCCAAGAAGUGUAUGCAGUCUGUACUGAUCAAAUCAAGGAAUCUCCUUCAUACAGUCAGACUGGCUUCCGUCUUAUGUGAUAUUUGGCUUUGUGCUACUCUGCAUUCUUUAGAUACUCUGUCAUCACGUGUGUUUACUGGAUGGUUGAACUGAGCAGUCUUUAAGCUCCUUAUAUGUGGGGUAUAUGUCCUGUUAUCAACCUGCAUCACAGACACCAUGGACAGUGGGGACUACAUGUACAGCACAAGACCUUCAGACAAAUGAAUGGGACUAGACUCCAGCCUCUGCUCCACCUGAUGGAAUAGCCGAGAUGGAUGGAGACUUCUUCCAACAAGCAUCAGGCAUUAUUUGCACAGUAAAGUUUUAAGUAAAUCAUUCUGGAAGCUCCGUUCUCCAUGGACCACCAACCUUUGCCAUCAGGCUUCCGGAUCUAUGGCUGGUACACACCCAGUUCUCAGGAGCCCACCUCCUGGGAGCCUCUGCCUGGCUUCUGUCUCAUCCACUUCUGUUUCUUCCUCACGCUGGGAGUAGGAGAAGCAGAAGAAGCUGCACUCACUCAUCUUUACCCAGAGGCUGUCAGAAGAAACUAACUGCCCAAAGGCCUGCAUGUUGUGACAGCACCUCCCGUGGGCAUUGCCGCACUGUCUCAGAGGCUUUCUUCCACAUGCAUGUGUGAAAUGUAAGUGUGUGUGUGUGUGUGUGCGUGUGUGUGUGUGCCAUGUGAAUACCCCAAGCGGCUGAGAAGGCAUUUUCCAAUCCAGAAAUUAAUGGGCAAGUUAAGCAAUCAGGACAGUAUAAAGUCUUCAGCAAGAGUUGCAACAAAAAUUUAGGGCACAGAGCACCAAGUGUUUAAUAGAAUGCAGACUGAUGGCAUCUAAAGUGGAACAAUCGCUGCAGGCCCUCUCGGCUCCAGGACGCGAACGGUGCGCUCUGUGGAUUCGCAGUGGGACCCCCACAUGCCUGCCUCCCAAACGUACUCGACAAAGAAUCCAGUGGGGCAGCGGCAGCUUUCUUGGAGGCCAGUGUCCUGCAGUACGUAGUUUGAGAAAUACUGAUGUAUGUACUGUUGAUUCAGUAAUUUAAUUCCAUUCGAUAACUGACUAAUUCCUGGGGACUCAAAACAUGGUCCAUGACGCAGUGGCACCAGCCUCCUCCAGGAAAUACAGCAUCCACCUUCUACCUCCCUUGCCCCCACUUCUUUGACAGAUUUGGAAUGGGCAAUUUAAUAGGAUUUUCAGGUCAUACACAGGGACUUAGACUUCAAGACAGAUGCACUGCUGUUAAGGACAUGAACGCUCUUGAUAAAAAUGGGAUUCACCAUCUAGAGUUUAAUUUCACAGGGUGUGCGUCACACAUUUUUUAGAAUAAUGUACGAAAAGCACAGGCAACAGAAAACGUAUCUGAAUCCUGUGCUUUCUCGGACUGCCAGCCCAUGGAGCACUUUUCUCUGCAGGCACAUUCUGCAGCUGCCUCACUCGGACCCGAAACCCCCGGGAGCCCCCAGGUGUCUCCUGAGUCCUCCUCCUUUCCCUUUUCAGUAGAGAGUGCAGUCCCAUAGCCUGGCCGCAUUUGGAACAGAGAGACAGGCAGCCACAUCGCAUUAGCUGAUGGCAGUGGGUGGCGAGGGGUUCCAGCUGGGAGCACACAGCCAAAGCCCCCCGUAAUGGCCCCGUCAGCUGUCAGGCUGUAAACACAUUUCUUCCCAUUCAGUGCCUCAUUUGCGCCUCUCUGACCUCUGUGGUUCUCGGAUCCAGGCCACGUGGCCCAGAUGGCAUAAUCUGUGAGGCCAAAGCAGGUGACAGUAGGGCUGCUGUUAGGUAAUCAGUGACUAUAAUUAGCUGGGCUGGAAACGAUAAUGGGACCAACUGCAGGGCCAGGGGGAGGGCUGCUGGGGUUAGGGGAAAGCCCUGGAUGGGUGGAGAACCAGCAGGGGAGAAAGGCUUGCUUCCUCCCUCCCUCCCUUCCCUCCUCUCCUAACAUUGUGUUUUCUGUGUGUGUCCCGAGGCUUCAUUCACAAAGAGGUCAGAGCCGGGCACUGGCAAUUCAGUGAGUGAGUUGUUAGGCAGCUGAUCAGUUUUGUUUCACAGAAGCGUUUCCAGAAAUCUAUGGUUCAGUUUGGCUAAGCAGUCGGCUCUAAAGGUUUUGUGGGAGCAAGUGUGGAGGAGGGCUAUGAGAGGGUUAGAAGUUGACUGUUAGGAGUCAGACACACUGACAUCCCAUGUCAGCAGCUCAGGCUGGCUCACCAGCCUCUGUGUCUCCCACACUGGAUCCCAACACUCACCCUGAGGCUGUUGGGGUCAUGUAUCUCCAGCAAUAUUGCCAGAAACAUACAUGACGUGCAGUAGGUCCUCUGGAAAUAUCCCUUUCCUUCUUGAUGGCUAUGACUUUGUACGUGAUGCGCAUACAACGGAACCAAUUAAUGACAAUAGCAAGGACAAGGAGAAAUCUCCCAGUACAAAUGUAAGAAGGACUCUGUGAAUAGGGGAAACUCGGUUAUGUUUGUCAAAAAAGAGGUUGAUAAAUGAAGCUGGAAGUGUUUGUAACUUAUACCAGGAGGAGAACAGUUCUGUAUUUUCUGAAUCAAAGUGAGAGAGAUGGGGCAGGGCAGUCAAGGUGAAGAAGAUGUGUCUGUGACGUCGCCCGCCGUCCAUGGCUGGCUGUCGAGGAACGCAGCACAGUGUUGUGGCGCUCACUGGAAGCAUUGUUGAAGCAGGGUCACUUUGCCUUAGCUGAAGGUCUAUAGUGAAACUCUGCUGUCCAUCGUAUGUCCUCUCCUCACCUGCAACCAUUUUUUCCUUUCUUUUCUUACUUAAUUAAUAAAUAUGUGUGUACCCAUAAGCACACACACACACGCGUGAGCACACACACACACACAGGAGGAAAAUUCAAGAUUCAUAGAAAAUAGAACUAAAAUAUAGGUAUAUUUUGCUGUUAAAGUUUCAAAAUCUAUGCAUAGUUUUUUUUUUACAAUACACAUUUUCCAUGAAGUUCCUUUAAUUGUCCCCUAGAGAUACAAAAGCAAAAACCAACUAACUAUGAUCCAGAAAAACUAGCCAGUUAAUUUGGAGUAGAUCCAUUUAGACACAGAUAUUUCUUCAUCAAUAUGAGUCAUAUUGACUUCUUGGAGAAUAAUUUCUCCCUCCAUUUAAUAUGCAGUUUUGUAUUUUCUACCUUCUUUACUAACUGUUAAGGCAUGAAGAGUUCUACCAAUCUUUUUGUACUAUUAUCUUUUUAAUUUAAAUAAUUAGCAUGCCCUAAAAUUCACAUUGUAAAAUGUAUGCUCAGUGGUUUUUAGCAUCUUCUUGAUGUUGGACUACCCUGACCAGUACUGAAUUCUGGACAUUUCUCCCAAAAGCAAUCUCAUUGCCAUUUGAAGUCACUCUCUAUUUCUGUCUCCCUUCAGCCCCAAGCUAAUAAUAAUUAGAGUACUAUGAGAUGUCAUUAAUUAUCAGCCCAUCUCCUCACAGCUGGAUAGGAAGUUGCUUACAACCCCUGGUUAAUAGUAACUAGAGUACCUUGAGAUGCACUGGGUUAUUGAUUCAACUCCUCCCAGGUGGAUAGGUAACUUGCUUGCAUCCCAUAGUUAAUAGUAACAGGGUUACUGUGAGAUACCAUGAGUUACUGAUUCAGCUCCUCACAGUUGGAUGGAAAAGUUGCCUACAACCCCUAACUGAUAGUACCUGAACUGUGAAGUGCCCCAAGUUAUUUGUCCAGCUCCUCAUAGGUGGAUCGGUAACUUGCUUAGAACCCAUAGUUGAAAGUAACCUUGGCUCACUGGGUUAAUCCUCUGCCUGCGGCACCAGAAUCCCAUAUGGGCACCAGGUUCUAGUCCCUGGUUGCUCCUCUUCCAGUCCAGCUUUUUGCUGUGGCCUGGGAGGGCAGUGGAGGAUGGCCCAGGUGCUUGGGCCCCUGCACCCAUGUGGGAGACUGGGAAGAAGCACCUGGCUCCUGGCUUCAGAUGGGCAUAGCGCCAGCCGUAGUGGCCAUUUGGGGAGUGAACAAAAAAACGGAAGGAAGACCUUUCUCUCUGUCUCUCUUUCUCUCACUGUCUAGCUCUAUCUGUCAAAUAGGAAGGAAGGGAGGAAGGAAGGAAGGAAGGAAGGCAGGAAGGCAGGCAGGCAGGAAGGCAGGAAGGAAGGAACCAGAGUACUCUGAGAUGCCCUGGGUUAUUGAUCCAGCUUCUCACAGUUAGAUGGGAAAGUUGCUUACAACCAUGUGUCAUCUAUGAUGACAAACAACGUGUAGGGGCUGGCACUGUGGCGCAGCAGGUUAACGCCCUGGCCUGGAGCGCUGGCAUCCCAUCUAGGUGCUGGUUUGAGACCUGGCUGGUCCAUUUCUGAUCCAGCUCUCUGCUGUGGCCUGGGAAAGCAGUGGAAGAUGGCCCAAGUCCUUGGGCCCCUGCACCCACGUGGGAGACCCGGAAGAAGCUGCUGGCUCCUGGCUUCGGAUCAGCGCAGCUCCAGCCGUUGCAGCCAGGGAGUGAACCAUCGGAUGGACAAGCUCUCUCUCUCUCUGACUCCCCUCUCUCUGUGUAACUGACUUUCAAAUAAAUAAAUAAAUCUUUAAAAAACAAAACAAAACAAAAAAAACAAUGCUGUAGUGAUCAGUCUGUGAAAUUUUGAUCCAAUUAGAUCAUACUUUUGAGUUGUAUCAGCAUUAACAUGCACACACACACACUACCUUAAGUUGAUAAGUUUUACAGUUUUAGAUGAUGUGGUUAUGGGAAAAUUCAGAAUUAAAACAAAUCU
Molecule: non-coding RNA, 13574 nt
Organism: Oryctolagus cuniculus (rabbit)
Lineage: Eukaryota; Metazoa; Chordata; Mammalia; Lagomorpha; Leporidae
Source: RefSeq, a predicted model, not a curated record